CCUACGUGAGGCAGCAGUGAGGAAUAUUGGUCAAUGGACGCAAGUCUGAACCAGCCAUGCCGCGUGCAGGAUGACGGCUCUAUGAGUUGUAAACUGCUUUUGUACGAGGGUAAACCCCGAUACGUGUAUCGGGUUGAAAGUAUCGUACGAAUAAGGAUCGGCUAACUCCGUGCCAGCAGCCGCGGUAAUACGGAGGAUCCGAGCGUUAUCCGGAUUUAUUGGGUUUAAAGGGUGCGUAGGCGGUUUGAUAAGUUAGAGGUGAAAUGUCGGGGCUCAACCCCGAAACUGCCUCUAAUACUGUUGGACUAGAGAGUAGUUGCGGUAGGCGGAAUGUAUGGUGUAGCGGUGAAAUGCUUAGAGAUCAUACAGAACACCGAUUGCGAAGGCAGCUUACCAAACUAUAUCUGACGUUGAGGCACGAAAGCGUGGGGAGCAAACAGGAUUAGAUACCCCAGUAGUC
Molecule: ribosomal RNA, 460 nt
Filed under: uncultured bacterium
Lineage: Bacteria
Description: partial 16S ribosomal RNA
Rfam family: Bacterial small subunit ribosomal RNA
Source: RNAcentral